GAGAAUGUUAAAAGAACUGCUAAUUCUUUACCCCAUACCUAACUAAUAUGGCUUUCUCA
This 59-nucleotide transfer RNA is filed under the name Echymipera clara (Clara's echymipera). RNAcentral's name for it is "tRNA-Ser". The record is from RNAcentral. Lineage: Eukaryota; Metazoa; Chordata; Mammalia; Peramelemorphia; Peroryctidae.